Molecule: ribosomal RNA, 448 nt
Filed under: uncultured bacterium
Lineage: Bacteria
Description: bacterial SSU rRNA
Rfam family: Bacterial small subunit ribosomal RNA
Source: RNAcentral
AGCGAACGCUGGCGGCAGGCUUAACACAUGCAAGUCGAGCGCCCGUAGCAAUACGGGAGCGGCAGACGGGUGAGGAACACGUGGGAACGUACCCUUCAGUUCGGAACAACCCAGGGAAACUUGGGCUAAUACCGGAUAAGCCCUUACGGGGAAAGAUUUAUCGCUGAAGGAUCGGCCCCGCGUCUGAUUAGCUAGUUGGUGAGGUAAUGGCUCACCAAGGCGACGAUCAGUAGCUGGCUGAGAGGAUGAUCAGCCACACUGGGACUGAGACACGGCCCAGACUCCUACGGGAGGCAGCAGUGGGGAAUAUUGGACAAUGGGCGGCAAGCCUGAUCCAGCCAUGCCGCGUGAGUGAUGAAGGCCUUAGGGUUGUAAAGCUCUUUUCGUCAGGGAAGAUAAUGACGGUACCUGAAGAAGAAGCCCCGGCUAACUUCGUGCCAGCAGCCGC